RNAcentral lists this ribosomal RNA (494 nucleotides) under uncultured bacterium. RNAcentral describes it as "partial 16S ribosomal RNA". It matches the Rfam family "Bacterial small subunit ribosomal RNA", at positions 28 to 507 of the family's 1533-position model. The record is from RNAcentral.
GACGAACGCUGGCGGCGUGCUUAACACAUGCAAGUCGAACGGAAAGGCCUGCUUUCCCUUGUGGAUUGCGGGUACUCGAGUGGCGAACGGGUGAGUAACACGUGAGUGAUCUGCCCCCAACUUGGGUAUAAGCCUGGGAAACUGGGUCUAAUUCCCGAUAGGACUGCAGGGUGGUGCCUGUGGUGGAAAACGAUUUUCUAGUGGUUGGGGAUGAGCUCGCGGCCUAUCAGCUUGUUGGUGGGGUAAUGGCCUACCAGGGCGGCGACGGGUAGCCGGCCCGAGAGCGUGGACGGGCACAUUGGGACUGAGAUACGGCCCAGACUCCUACGGGAGGCAGCAGUGGGGAAUAUUGCACAGUGGGCGGAAGCCUGAUGCAGCGACGCCGCGUGGGGGAUGACGGCCUUCGGGUUGUAAACUCCUUUCGACCGCGAGGAAGCCACCUGGUUGGAAGGGUGGUGACGGUAGUGGUAGAAGAAGCACCGGCUAACUACGUG